GACGAACGCUGGCGGCGUGCCUAAUACAUGCAAGUAGAACGCUGAAGAGAGGAGCUUGCUCUUCUUGGAUGAGUUGCGAACGGGUGAGUAACGCGUAGGUAACCUGCCUUGUAGCGGGGGAUAACUAUUGGAAACGAUAGCUAAUACCGCAUAACAAUGGAGGACCCAUGUCAUUUAUUUGAAAGGGGCAAAUGCUCCACUACAAGAUGGACCUGCGUUGUAUUAGCUAGUAGGUGAGGUAACGGCUCACCUAGGCGACGAUAAAUAGCCGACCUGAGAGGGUGAUCGGCCACACUGGGACUGAGACACGGCCCAGACUCCUACGAGAGGCAGCAGUAGGGAAUCUUCGGCAAUGGGGGCAACCCUGACCGAGCAACGCCGCGUGAGUGAAGAAGGUUUUCGGAUCGUAAAGCUCUGUUGUAAGUCAAGAACGAGUGUGAGAGUGGAAAGUUCACACUGUGACGGUAGCUUACCAGAAAGGGACGGCUAACUACGUG
RNAcentral lists this ribosomal RNA (497 nucleotides) under uncultured bacterium. Its description in RNAcentral is "partial 16S ribosomal RNA". It matches the Rfam family "Bacterial small subunit ribosomal RNA", at positions 28 to 507 of the family's 1533-position model. The record is from RNAcentral.